AUGGAGCAAGUAGCAGACAGAGAAAUCAACGACCAAACUUUAAAUUCAGCAGAUCCAUGUCCAUCCAAUCUCAUCCUUCAUCGCAUAGUAAAUCCUCACGGAGCAAGCAACAGACAGGAUUCACUAGCUGCAGUCAACAUGCGUCAAACUCACAAUGGACGAGAUCCAAACAAUAAAAGCAAUAUGUCGAGUGAUCAAACGAUCCAAAGACCUGGCCAAGCAACCUCCAAACUAGCGAUGGUAGAAUCUAAUGAUAGUCAACCUGCAGACAUCAUUAGAGCGACAAUGAAUGAUGCUGCACGAAAAAGGAAAGAUAUACUCCAGCAGAAAAGGAAAGUCAUUUCUAUGGAAAUCAAUCACGACAAAAUUAAGGUCCAAAGGAAAGAUAGUUCUAGUAGUAGCAUCAGUGGUAUAGCAACACUUCUUUUACACGGUGGAAGAACAGCUCAUUUAAGAUUCCACAUACCGCUGAAGAUCACUUGCCAGUCCACAUGCAACAUCAAGCAAGGAACAUUUCUUGAAGAGCAACAACAGAUGAAGAAGACUAGGGCCUUGCAAUGGGACAAGACUAACAAUAACACUGCUAGGAAACUCCGCUCGAGCGUGGGAGGAGAUCGUGAGGGCACAGAUGCGAGCGACGGCCGGAUGACCGGCGCUCUCGCCAGCACUAAGAGCGGUUCGCGAGGAAGGAGUUUGCGAGGGCACUAA
This 708-nucleotide ribosomal RNA is filed under the name Triticum aestivum (bread wheat). Its description in RNAcentral is "partial small subunit ribosomal RNA". Lineage: Eukaryota; Viridiplantae; Streptophyta; Magnoliopsida; Poales; Poaceae. The record is from RNAcentral.